RNAcentral lists this long non-coding RNA (428 nucleotides) under Monodelphis domestica (gray short-tailed opossum). RNAcentral describes it as "lncRNA (ENSMODG00000041429.1)". Lineage: Eukaryota; Metazoa; Chordata; Mammalia; Didelphimorphia; Didelphidae. The record is from RNAcentral.
CUGGGCCUCUUUAGCUUCCUAUUGGGGACCAUGGUGGUGGAGGAAGAAGGAGCCUAUGAAUGGAGAGAAGUGUAACCCAGAUUAAAAGGAAUCAAACUGUGAGGAGUUUACUGUUUAGCAUUUGGAGAGACCUCAAACACAGUAUGGCAGCGUGGAGAAGUGCCCGGAGAGCUGCUUUUGCCAUCACUUAGACAUGGGUUCUAAUGUCACCUCAAAUACUUGUUAGCUGUAUGAUGGAAGGAAGCUUGUACCAACUCUAGAGAGCAGAUUGUGAAAUGUUCCAUGUGAGAAUAUAUACCUUGGAAAUCAGCAAAUGAUCCACAUUAGACUUGGUUUACAGUUUUGCUUAUUGUUUACACUUGAGAAAGUGAUAGAGAAAAUGUUUAUAAGAUGGCCUGAUUUUCAGAGAGCUAGUUGUUAAAUAGGGA